RNAcentral lists this ribosomal RNA (426 nucleotides) under uncultured bacterium. Its description in RNAcentral is "partial 16S ribosomal RNA". It matches the Rfam family "Bacterial small subunit ribosomal RNA", at positions 355 to 774 of the family's 1533-position model. The record is from RNAcentral.
UGGGGAAUCUUGCGCAAUGGGCGAAAGCCUGACGCAGCAACGCCGCGUGAGCGAAGACGGCCUUCGGGUUGUAAAGCUCUGUCAGGAGGGACGAAGCCACUCAGGUGAAUAGCCGAGAGGGUGACGGUACCUCCAGAGGAAGCCCCGGCUAACUACGUGCCAGCAGCCGCGGUAAUACGUAGGGGGCAAGCGUUGUCCGGAAUCAUUGGGCGUAAAGCGCGUGUAGGCGGCCAUCCAAGUCCGAUGUGAAAGCUCGGGGCUCAACCCCGAGUCUGCAUUGGAAACUGUAUGGCUUGAGUCCGGAAGAGGAGACUGGAAUUCCAGGUGUAGCGGUGAAAUGCGCAGAUAUCUGGAAGAACACCGGUGGCGAAGGCGGGUCUCUGGGACGGUACUGACGCUGAGACGCGAAAGCGUGGGGAGCAAACA